This 405-nucleotide ribosomal RNA is filed under the name uncultured bacterium. RNAcentral describes it as "partial 16S ribosomal RNA". It matches the Rfam family "Bacterial small subunit ribosomal RNA", at positions 355 to 751 of the family's 1533-position model. The record is from RNAcentral.
UGGGGAAUUUUGGACAAUGGGCGAAAGCCUGAUCCAGCAAUGCCGCGUGUGUGAAGAAGGCCUUCGGGUUGUAAAGCACUUUUGUCCGGAAAGAAAUCCUUGGCUCUAAUACAGUCGGGGGAUGACGGUACCGGAAGAAUAAGCACCGGCUAACUACGUGCCAGCAGCCGCGGUAAUACGUAGGGUGCAAGCGUUAAUCGGAAUUACUGGGCGUAAAGCGUGCGCAGGCGGUUUGCUAAGACCGAUGUGAAAUCCCCGGGCUCAACCUGGGAACUGCAUUGGUGACUGGCAGGCUAGAGUAUGGCAGGAGGGGGGUAGAAUUCCACGUGUAGCAGUGAAAUGCGUAGAGAUGUGGAGGAAUACCGAUGGCGAAGGCAGCCCCCUGGGCCAAUACUGACGCUCAUG